GACGAACGCUGGCGGCGUGCUCAACACAUGCAAGUCGAACGGAAAGGCCCUGCUUUUGUGGGGUGCUCGAGUGGCGAACGGGUGAGUAACACGUGAGUAACCUGCCCUUGACUUUGGGAUAACUUCAGGAAACUGGGGCUAAUACCGGAUAGGAGCUCCUGCUGCAUGGUGGGGGUUGGAAAGUUUCGGCGGUUGGGGAUGGACUCGCGGCUUAUCAGCUUGUUGGUGGGGUAGUGGCUUACCAAGGCUUUGACGGGUAGCCGGCCUGAGAGGGUGACCGGCCACAUUGGGGCUGAGAUACGGCCCAGACUCCUACGGGAGGCAGCAGUGGGGAAUAUUGCACAAUGGGCUGAAGCCUGAUGCAGCAACGCCGCGUGCGGGAUGACGGCCUUCGGGUUGUAAACCGCUUUCGCCUGUGACGAAGCGUGAGUGACGGUAAUGGGUAAAGAAGCACCGGCUAACUACGUG
This 468-nucleotide ribosomal RNA is filed under the name uncultured bacterium. RNAcentral's name for it is "partial 16S ribosomal RNA". It matches the Rfam family "Bacterial small subunit ribosomal RNA", at positions 28 to 507 of the family's 1533-position model. The record is from RNAcentral.